This 456-nucleotide ribosomal RNA is filed under the name Mycalesis mineus (dark-brand bushbrown). RNAcentral describes it as "partial 16S ribosomal RNA". The record is from RNAcentral. Lineage: Eukaryota; Metazoa; Arthropoda; Insecta; Lepidoptera; Nymphalidae.
AAUCUGCCCACUGAUUUAUUAAAGGGCUGCAGUAUAUUAACUGUACAAAGGUAGCAUAAUCAUUAGUUUUUUAAUUGAAAACUUGUAUGAAAGAUUUGGUGAAAUAUUAACUGUCUCUUAAUUAUUAAUAAAACUUUAUUUUUUAGUUAAAAAGCUAAAAUAAAUUUAAAAGACGAGAAGACCCUAUAGAGUUUUAUAUUUGAAUUUUAUUUUAAAUAUAUAUAUAAAUUAAUAUUAAUAAAAUUAAAUAUUAUAUUGGGGUGAUAGAAAAAUUUAAUUAACUUUUUUUAAAUAAUAAACAUAAAUAAGUGAAUAAAUGAUCCAUUUAUAAUGAUUACAAGAAAAAAUUACCUUAGGGAUAACAGCGUAAUAUUUUUUUUUAGUACAUAUAAAAAAAAAAGAUUGCGACCUCGAUGUUGGAUUAAGAUAAAAUUUAAAUGCAAAAGUUUAAAAUUU